ACGAAACCUCCCGGCGGGAAGAGCAAACGCCUCUUGCCGGCCCCGCGCAUCGGCUGGGGGAGCGGCGGCCGCAUCGUGCGCGCUGCCCGAGCGCUCUCCCAGGCGCGGGGGAGAGAGCAGCGAGAGCGAGAGCGGCGGCUGGUCCUGUCGCGUGUCUCCGUGCAGCCCGAGCCCUGUUUCUGCAGGGAGGGGAGGGGGUCAGCGUUUCCCCGUCCCCUGUUGACGAGGAUUUCCCCGUCGGGCCGCCUCAGAAAAGAGCCCUAUGCAGAAGACGGGCACGCCGCUUUGCACAGCGGGAGUCCAAGUUACUACCGAGCUACUUGUUUCUGAGUAUGUUGAAGCUCCUUUCGGGAGCACUUUUGGCUGGAGAUGGAUGGCCUCUAGUUCCCGCCCUACAUCUGCCACGACAAAAUAGUCAAAUGUGCACCUGAGGUCAGGCACUGGCACACACUGCAGUGGGAGCUCAGCAUCUCUGUAUGGGACAGCUGUGAUCCAGGUGUUGCCACAGUGAACGAGGUGCCUCACCUCGGGUAUCCACGCCUGACCACUUUGGCAGUUGAUUCCAAUCCUCUCAUUCUGCCCCCAUUUAUUUAAGUGACCUCCCUGCCUACUCCUGCCUCUGCCACCUCCCACCUCCCUGAAGGCUCCAACUCUGAGUUGGAGCAGUUUGUUGUCACAAGCAUCUGUAGUGACAUAAAGAUAAGACCAUCGUCUGGUACUUGUUGGUUGGAGGGUAUGAAAUAAACAUUGUGGGGUAACUGCUUCCAAUUGCCAAGCACCAGGUAAAGUUCCCACAUAGUUUUCCAAGAAUAAUUUGCUUUCCAUGGUCAGGGGAGUGAAGAUCAACCUGAGGACUCUGCAGCAAAACCCUGGCCCUUCGGAUGGGAGGAAAAAACUCCUCUGAAUAGUCUGCCCUGGAUGUGUUUAAACCAUUUAAGUAUAAUACUGGCACCUCUCUCCUGUUUAUGAACUCAAACCAAAAUAUGUCUGGAGCGAUAUGACCCUGGCACCCAUUCCUGCUUGGGGCAAGGGGUUUGACCUGAUGGUCUGUUUAGGUCCCUCCGACCCUAAGCACUAUGAUACUAUGUCAAUCUUUUCCUCUUUCUUAGCACUUCAGUUGUUACUCUUUCCUCUUGCAAGGUUUAGGCUGCUGCUUGCAUAAAAAAAUCUUCACAAGAGGGACUGUUUUUCUUUGAUUAAGGGAACUAAGCUAGAAAGGACCUUUUCCAACUAUGUGUUGAAAAUGGGAUACAUCCCUGUGUAAACUAUUCCUAACCAGCAUUUAUAUGUCCGCUGGCAGAGAUUCCACAACUUAUUUAGGUUACUUAUUCCAGCGCUUGUUCACCUUCAUAAUUAGAAAGUUCUUCCUAAUAUUUAUCUAUUGUUCCUAACUUGCAAGGAACCAAAUCAACAAUUGACUUAUUUUCCCCCCGACCUUGAAUAGGUAGAAUAGCCUAUCUUCUCCUGAGAAACAGUCAUAGAAUGGAUUCCAUGCUGAGCAUUCCCCAGUGGGCUCCCUUUACUGGUUACAGAUGAAGUCGGCUACAGCCACCCUGCACAGCACCAGAGCUUUCAAUGAGCUCAUCUCCAUUAGAAAAACUUUACUGUGUGUGAAGACAAUUGUAGGACAACAGAACAAAGAAUACUAUGGCAUUUCCUUCACUAGAGGUUUUUAAGAAGAGGGGCUAGACAGCCAUCUCUGUGAAGACUUAGGAGUGGCAGAUGACAAAACAAGGAGCAAUGGUCUCAAGUUGCAGAAAGGGAAGUUUAGGUUAGAUAUUAAGAAGUAUGUUCUCACUAGGAGGGUGGUAAAACACUAGAACAGGUUACCCAGAGACAGUGGCAAUGCAUAGGGGGUGCACGGGGGUGUGUGUGCACCCUCUGAGAGUGCUGAUGCACCCCCUGAUACCCAGCGUUCCCCACUUAGGCGAUGGGUAGGGGGGGCAGGCGGGAUCACUGGUGCCCCCCCUGAAGUGCCAGCCAGAGUGUGGGGGUGCCAUGAGAAGCGCCCCUGGCCCUUCUGGGUUGGUGCUCACGACCUGCGGGGGGGACUUCCCCACGCACCCGGUUGGCACGAUCGGUGGGGGGGGCCUCCCCCCCAGUCACUUACUGGCCACUGGUGGGGGAGCAAGUGCCUCCCCCUUUAUUCAGGAGGCACCAGUUGCCCAUGCCCAGAGAGAUGGUGGAAGCUCCAUCCUUGGGGGUUUUCAAACCCCGGCUAGGCAAAGCUUUGGCUGAGAUGAUCUAGUUGGGGCUGGUCCUGCCUUGAGCAGGGGGUUGGACUAGAUGACCCUUUCCACCCUAAUUUUCUAUGAUUCUGUGAGUAUACAUCAUGUGCAAGGAGAUGGAACUAUAUGAUCCUUAAGGUUUCAUCCAACUCCAUCAUUCUAAAAAGAGACAAAUGAAAUGACACGAUGCUGACCACAAGGAUGCAGCUGCUGUAGCCCCUGGCAAGUCCUGUUCUGCUAACCGUGCGCCAUCAGCAAUUAAAUAUGAUCAGCUGGCUCAAUGCUGGAAACUCAUUCGAUGUAAAACAAAGAAAAACAUGAUCAGCAUUAUGCCAGGAGAUCAUAUUUAAACUCAGGUUCCAACAGCCUGCACACACAAUUAGCUGAGCUAGGGGGCAAGCUGUGCUUAGCCUUAGAAUGGACCUGUUAGUCCUGGUCAGCACUGCACUACCUAACUUGGCUCUUCGUUACCUCAUUCAGCAAUGAUAUCAAGUUUGUUGAGGUUGCCCUGAAGCAUUAAAGUUUAGAAUUCUUUCUAGAUUUUAGUUUUAACUUUACAACAAAGCUUCCCUUUGCUUUCUCACUUUCCCUUCCUAGUCCCAUAUGUUUGUAGCUUGUCUAGGCUGUAGCUUGGGGGAGUCGUGAAGCUCUUUCAGCUCUUUCUCACUUGCAAAAGGACUUCUGCUUGGACAAAAUGCAUUCAAGGAAGUGGCUGUUGUCCUUAACUGGCUUCUGAUAGAUAACGGUAUUGGCUCUUACUUUACCCUUGGUUCUUACCAGACUGGUCAAAAGCUAUCAGAAGUUAAGCUUUUUCUUUUUUUUUUUUUUAAUAAAUCAGUUUUAAAAUUGCAUUCCUGCUUCUAACCAGAAGGCAGAGCCUUUAUCAUUUUCCCUUUAAUCAGCAGGAGAAAAGAAAUUUGCUGUGAAUGCCCAGAAUCCCUGAAACAGAUCACACUUUCCCUUUGCACAAAUCAAAGUUAUCUGAUCUUAUUACAUCCUCCACUCAAAAUGAAUCAUAAGCUUCUAUCCCACUGAGGUUUCUCAGGGAGACUUGUUUAGAUCAGAUUAGAACAACAUGCUUCACUUCUAAAAAGCUCACUGUGUCAAAAGUGUUUCCAGUUGGUACAGGGCAUUAAGAAAUGCCUUAUUUAAAAAGUAAAUGUUAUUACCUCAUCUAGCCCCUCUCUCCAAAGGGCAUGAAAAACAGAAGUCAAAAGUCAGCAAAGAUACAUCAAACAGAGAAAGAUCUUAUUGGAGAUUAGGUGUUCCUGUCAAUUGGUUAAUUAUUUUAACAGUUGCACUCAGAGAUGUAGACUGAAGCAGAGGGAAAGAGGAAGGAAGCUGUGAUGUAGUCUAUGGGGUGUCUCAGGACACGAUUUCAGUCAUUAAAAUGUAACAUUGCAAUCUGGUGUAUUUUGAUGCACUUUUGCAAUAUACGUACAGGAAUAAAACUUUCAUGUAUGUUUUCAUUAAGAACUACUCUAUUUUAUGAUGAAUAUUUCAGAAAAUUUUCAAUAAUCUGGAAGAAGAGAGAAAGUAAAACCAGUUGAACAGUACACUAUAUCCCAGGUACAAAUUUGGAAAUGACACAUUCAAACACUUGCAAACAAUUCCUACUCUAAUUUCUGCUGUGCUUUCUUCCAGCCACAAGGGAGAUGAUCAUUAGUAUUACUUAUUUAUUAUUUACUAAGUGCAGUUAUUAGAGUGUUCAUCUCUGUACACAAAUGCAAGAAAACAAAGGUCUGGAUUCAGUUCUCCCACGAACUUUACACUGGAUUAUUGUUAUGGACACUUCAUAGUUCAGAUUUAUACUAGUGUAAUUAUGUUCCAAAUAUCAGUUAUUGCACUACUUCAGCUUUUGUCACAGUUCAAAAUCUCCAUUUUUCCACAAUGAACUGUGGAAAACCAGAGGUUUAACAGAGCAGCUUUGAGCCUUGGGCAGCAGUAGCACAUGGGCAAUGGUGGUUGCUGGGUUGCCAGCAGCAGAAGUAUGGCCAGCAAACAGGUGUGGCACCUGCUAUUUUGCACCCCCACCCCAACUAAGUGGGCAGCUGGGGCUGCUGCCAGGUUAUCAUCCCCUCCCCCCAGCUAUGCUACUGUGGAAAAUAUUUAUUUGAAUUUAGCACGUAAGAAAAUACUCUUGACUUAAAGUCUCUCCUCACUGAUAUUGCCCGUCCUCUGUCCCUUCAGUUCCACUACAGAUUUCAUCACCUUGGUACACCUGGCGGACUUCCCUCCAUAUAUUGUUCAUUCCACUUGCUCAGGUGUCUCAUUUUGUUCAGCAUCUGUAGCUUUAAGUCAACCAUGCCUGAUACACCCCAACCCUCAAGUCUUUUCAAGGGGGUAGAUUUUCAAAAGCGCAAAUGGUGACUAAGCACUGGUUCUUGUUCCCUUUUGAAAGGGAUUGGGCUCCUGCCUUCUCUUCUGCCUUUGCAAAUACCCCCCCUGGCAGGUAUCCUCAGAAAGGGUCAUGACAUCAUCUCUGGCACCCUUUUAUAACUUAUACCUUUUGCUUCAUACCUUCUGUUUGCCCCCUCAAAAGUCUUUGGAAAUGGCCUGCAGUGGCUACUCCUUUAACACUCAGCUGUUAAAAUCAUCUUAACUAUAGCAGUAACCAUUACAUAAUAUAUGUUACACUAGAUAAAACUUUUAGUUACUAUGGAUUUGGUAAAUCUUCUAGUUACUACAGAUUUGAGCAAGAAUUCUUAGCUUCUGGUGGCCAGAUUACACAAUUACACUGCUGAGCAUUUUCUCAGUUUCAUCCCAUUUAAUUUUAGUGAGUAAUGAUUAUGCAAUCUAGUUCAUGGAGCUGAUGUGUGUUUCCAGCACACAGGCUGUCAGAUCUUUCUUGUUUCUCCCCUCAAGCCUAUGCUUCAGUCCCUGUCUGUCUCCUGUACAUAACAGUGCACCCAAAACUGAAUACAACAAACAUAUUUUCAAUUCCCUUCCACCUACCACACACUUCAUCUCUGAACCUGGCCGGGUAUUAGGGACAUGCAAGAUCAAGGGCCCAGUCUCCUUUACUCUGUUCUUCUGAUGACUUUGACACAAGGACUUUCUGGCAUGAUGUAAGUCAAUGUAAUGUGCUCUAUGUUACCCAUCCUGGGCACUGGAGACAUUCAUGGAUGGGCUGAGCAACUAGCUAAGGCAAUCCUCUUCAUCUCUCAUGAAGUAGUCUGUGGACUGCUAUAAAUUAUAUUGAAAACAGGGCUGAAUGCUAUUCCCCGUGCUUAAUGCUACCUUCUUGCCCAACCCACUCAAGGUGGUACACUAAAUGCAAUGAGGACAGCCAUGGGGGUUUAGUCCAUGAUCUUGGGGCACAUCUUCACAGCUUUUCCAAGGAAUUUUGGUUAGACUAUAGAUCAUUUAUACGUUGGCAAUUCUUUCCCCUGGCUCUUCUUGCUGAAUGGUUGGCCACCAUAUAAUUCCCUGGUAGAUCCGUUUCAAAAUAUAUUUAUUUAAUACCUCAAUUUUAUAUUGGAUGGUUUCUCCUGGAUGGUAUGCAAGCCAUUACAGUAUUCAAAUACAUGUUUUUACAGUGAAGCAGCUAACUUCAAGUACUAAACCCUAUAGUGUUUUGUGCUGAAAAAUAUUUAAAGCUCUCAAAGCCCAGAUACAUAUGUCACUGGCAUUUUCUAUGCCAAUGUUCUUUGUUAUUUCCAAAUAGCUGAUAUUGGAAAUAGCUCCUAAGAAUAAACAUUUUCAAAUAGUGCAGAAUGUAUUUUUUAAGUAAAUCUGUUUUGCCCGAUACCAAUCUUUUCAGCAGUGAAUAAAAUGUAAGGGGUAUGUAUUCUUCCAAGUGUGCUGAGCUAUAGGUUGAGAAAAUUCUGGAAACAUACAAUGCAAAGCAAAGAAAAAGUUUCAAGUUAUUUGAUAGCAUCACUUAGCAUUUGUGAUGAGGGACGAUCAGGAGAGGAAUACAGAGCAAGGCUGUUGUCAGCCAGAUUCACAGCACAUGGAUGCAGGGAACAUACUGUGCUACCAGUUCUUCAGACACAUGCAUACAAUUUCAAACAGAAAUCAAAAUUAGCCCAAAAGUGUUUGGUGAAUUUUGUGGGGGAAGGGAGAGAGUUGUCUACUUCAUAACGGGAAAUAUUUAUUUGAGAAAUUUAUAACCAUACUAAGAUCUAAGCAAAUUACUGGCUUUAUUUCUCCUUCUUCGGCUAUUCACAAGGAGUAGAAUCCUUCUACUAAGCUGUCAGUGGAUAGAGAACCAACCCAGAGAAACCCAAAGCAGGUACUUUCCUGAGUUUCUCUUCACUGCUCUUUACAAAUUCUGUAUAUUUUCACUUCGUUCUGUAUUGUCUUUUCUAAAAGGAAAUGAAUUCCAGGAAUUUUACUAUACCUCUUUUAAUGAAGCUCAUACAAACUCAUAGAUUUUUUAUUUUACAAUAAUUGUUUAAUCAAAUUGUGUAUGUCAGAUACUAAAUAUUCAAAUAUAAGAUAAUACUGCAUACUUUUGUAACUUAAUACAUCUUUGGCUUUUGUCUGAAGGGUAUUUGUAGGACAACAAACUAACUAACUAAAUCAACUGAGCACAUAAAGGUGUUCUGUAAAUUCCAGCCUACAAAGGGUAAAACGUAGACUCACAUUCCUUGCUCAACAUAUGAGUGACCUGUGGUAGGGCUAAAAAAAAAGGGGGGUGGGGAGUGCUGUUGUAUGGGAAACUGCCCAGAAGGAAAGUCAGUUCUUUUCCCCUUCACAUAUUGCUGGAAGCUGAAAAGACCUCCCUUGACAGUCGCCAUGGCUAGGGACAGAAGUUACACAUAAACUGGUUUAAGUGAUCAAGAACUGGUUUAAACCUGUAACAAAACAGAAGUUUAGUGCACCUAAGCCACUUUCAAAAUGGCUGAAACUGGUUUAAAAUAAACCUAGACGGAUGUAGUAUCAGACUAAGCUGAUUUAGCCCAAACUGGUUUAUGGAACUUCUAUCCCAGAUCCUGUCCCAAUUCAACUUAACUCACAGUCCUCCAGCAUCCCAGGAUGCUGGGGAGCCCUGCGCUUUGCUCUCUGCUCCAACAGAGCAGGGCAGCCCUGCCCCCAGCUGUAAGAUCCCAGCAGCCCAGACCCCGGCAGAGCCUGGCAGAUUCCCCUGGCCCUGCCACCUCCUCUGUUGGGGGAAUUGGCCCGGCUCCAGCUAGGGUAGGGGGAAUAAAACUGUCGGCACAGCCCAGCUGGAGGUCCUGGGCUGGGGCUGUGUUCGCCCCCACUUCCACCCUAGCCGGCAGGCUGGCUGGGGAAGUGGUAUGGCUGGGUGAUUGCUCCAGCUCCCAGCUCAGGUGUGGGGGAGAAAAGACCCCACUGUGGGCUCCAUGCACCAGCCCCCACCAUCGGGCACAACCCAGCUGGGAGUCUGGAAUAGGGGGACGGGGAAGGAGAGGGCGGUUGGUUUUCCCCUCAAACUCCCAGCCUGCGUACUGGCCAGGGAGGGGGCAUGGCCGGGUGAUUGCCCUGGGUCCCAGGUCCUGGCUCAGGUUGGGAGUGGGGGGAGCCCCCACUUUAGGCUCCCCCCACGCUGUGCCAGGCACAGUCUGGCUGGGGAUCCAGAGCUAGGCAGAGGGGGGUCAUUUCCCCACCACAUUCCCUCUUCUGAUGGGCCCCAGCUGCCUGGGGAGGGGAGAUGGGGUGGGGGGAGUAAAGCCCCCACUCUGGGCUUCCCCACAGCUGGGAGCCAUGGCAAUCACGUGGCCAUGCCUCCUCCCAGGCUGGCAAGCCAGCUGAGGAGGAAGUGUGGGGCAGGGGAGAGGGACCUGGCUCUGGACCCCCAGCCAAGCUGUGCCCAGCACCAGGGGAAACCUGCACAGGGGGCCAUUUUACCUCCCACUCCCUCCUCAGCCAGCCUGCCGGCCAAAAAGGGAACAUGACCAGGUGAUCACCAUGGCUCCCAGCUGUGGGGAAGCUCUCAGCUGGGGCUUUAUUCCCCACAUGCCCCCCUCCUCAGCUGGUGAAGGGUGAAGAGGGAGCAUGGCUGGGGGAAUUGCCCGGCUCCCAGCAGCGACCGGCAGGCUGGGAGGUGUGCUCUAGCACCCCCGCCUCCUGGUAUGGGCCACUGCAGGGGUCUGGCUGCCUUUCAGGUUUGAAAAGUGAAUGUCAGUUGACUUUCUUAUCGGUUCAGUCCAGGCAGUUUACAGAAACCUGCAAAGAUUGAAUCAAUUCAGCCUUGGGCUUUUUGAGUGUCUGUACUCAGCCCAGGUGUCCUGUGUUACUUUGUUGCUGUUUUGGAAUCUUCUGUGUGAAUAAAGCCGCUCUUCAGGAAAGGGACCUGAAGGCAAGGAGAGUUUGGGCUUUAUUUAAUCUUUCCAGCUGGUGUAUUGUCCACUCAGUUUAUAAGCCAUUUCUAUGUAUUGGCUUUAAAACUAGGCUUUCAUUUUAAUACAAAAUCAGGAUACAACUAUUGUAAUACCUUCUUUUAUACCCACUCUGGUGAACAUACUAUUAUUGGUAAAUUCAACUUGGCUUUUGGAAAAGAAGGCAACGUUAAAUCCAUGCUUCUGAGCAAGUUUAAAGAUACUCAAGGGUAUCACUGGUUUGUGCACUAGAUUCUUUUUAAAGCCAAGGAAAAGUGUCAUAGGAUGGGGUUAAUAUCAACUUCAGCUUUGAUGCAGACAAAGGUAACUCUCUGCUGAGAAAUGUAAAUUCAUCGUGCCACUCGGUGUCAUUUUCUACUGCAGGCAUAUUUUGUAGAAAACUGCAAUAUCAGCUCAUGAGUGGUUAGACUGAGUUAUACAUCCACUAAUGGGCAUAUCAGUGAAAUGUUUCUAAACUUUGUCUUACCUCCUACACGAUUUGGAAGGUGCCAAUCGUCUCACAUUUUCUUCAUUAUUGACUAAUGAUAAUUACAAUUGUUCCACCUCAUGUUAUGUUUUUCAGUCUGCCUAAAAUUUUAACUGUUGGCUUGGGAACUCAGUAUGGUCUAGAGAUGCAUAAUUUAGCACCAAGUUAGAGAUCACAAGUGGCUGGCUAUAUCCAACAUGUUUUAUAAAAUCCAACAUCUGAUUAACAAUAUUAUAAUAAAUAAGUUACCUUAAGCAUUUAAUAAAAUACUUCUCAUCCAUUGGCUUGAGAAUUUGCUUAGUAUAACUGGUAGAGUUAUUUGUUGUUUAGUAGAGCUCAAUGGAAUAUUACAACUGAAUAUUGUAUUCACCUAGUAUUGCAGAUUUAAGUUGACCAAAAUAUUAACGAUUUUUUCAAGGUAUUCCAAUAAACAAAAUUCUGAAAUCAGUCAAUCAAAACAUUUCUUCUGAUAUUUGGAAAUGAACUAUUUCAAUUUUUCAUUGCAGAACACUAUUUCAUUUCAAAAUUUACCCACAUGUAAUAUUUUAAAAGGAUAAAAUAACACAACACACUUUUUCAUUAAUUCCUUCUGGAAUUUAUUAUUUUUGUUUUUCAUAUUGGGAGAAAAACCAAAAUAUUUGGCUGACCCAUAACAAUACUUUCCUGCUUUUUUUAGUUCGGUUGGCAAAAAAAAAAAUCAAAGUUUAGCUGUCUUUACAGUUCAUGAAAACUGUGAAGUGAUUAUGAUUUUUGUUGACUUAUUCUUUUCUUAACUCUUCACAUUGAUUUAUGAGAACAAAAUUUAACCUACAACUUAUUUACUAAUAGCUAGGCUUUUUUGUUAAUUGUGGUAUACGAUUGGUCGCUAUGUCAUAUGGCGGGGGUACUUGCGAAGGGCUACGGGGGUACACACAGGUAGGGAUGGAGCACCACCACCCACCACCUUGUGCUGCCACUGCUCCGUAUCCGGCCGCACACCACCCACCCCCCACUUCCCAUGCCACCCUCCGUCGCUCCAUGUCCGACCACCGGGGGUACACUUAUUUUAAAAGGUUGAAAACCCAUCAUAUGGUAUUGUUUUUGCUCCCCAAGUGACUGUCUACAAUUUUCUAGGAUGGUAAAAUGGGAGUAACAAACAGCAAAUAACAACAGUCAUCUUGUAUGAAUGUUCAGAUGAAUAAUCAUUCAUAAAACAUUGAAGAUGUAUACGGUUCUUUAGGUAAAUAUGAUAUCUUUUGUUAGACCAUUUACUCAUACAGUUCUUUCCAGCUUCCACCCAUCAACAGGUUUUUCUAUAUUCUGAAUAACAUGCUUUAAUCUAGAGUUGGCCAGAAAGCAAGAAUCUUAUUUCACAAAAAUUUUUGAGGUUUCAACAUUUGUUUGCAUUCCAAACCAAAACCCAAGACAUGUAUAAACUGUUCAUGAAAAACUGCAAGAGCCUGACCACUACAGAAUUGCCAGGUGAUUGCAGUACUUACCUAGGAGAUCCAGUGUUCACCUAACUAUAGUCCCUUAAUUAUAUAGUCUCACUGGGCACUUGUAAACAUGAUGAAAAUUGCCUUUCUUUGUGACUUACUGGUAUCACACUUUACACAUAUGCGAGUUUUUGGCAAUUUAAAUGAUUUUGCAUCUUCAUAGACUAAUCUCCAUCCCAUCCUGAUGUAGUUUAGUUUGCAACAACGCAACUUGGAACAGUACAGCCAUUAAUCUGUUAUAUGUACAUAGUAAUUCACUGAAUGACAUGUGAUGAGCCCCUUUGUCCAUUGGGUGUCACUACAAUUUUUGUGGAGUGAGCCCCUUGUCCACCAAGUGUCGCUACAACUUACAGGUAUGUGUGUGUAAUGAAUGUUUUAGGUUCAGUCUGGUGAGCACAGCUGACUGGCACCAAAACUUACAAUAGUCACAGAGCAUAGCUCUUGCAUGCCUAGGAAAAAUCACCAAACUUUGCUCGGCAACAGCCACGAGGAGCCCCUGCUCCCUUCCACCUUGCACCUCUAAAACAUCCUUUUUCAGCUGGCUGUGGUGUGAUUGCCCCUCUAACUCCAUUAAUUUGCUCUCCUGUUUUCCAUAAACCUGACAGGUGGCGUUCUAUGAGCCCGCAUAAGCAUUAAGCAUGCCUGCUUUAUGAAUAGUGGGUGGUUUCUGUUAGCAUUCAUUCCCUCACCAGCUAUGUCUGAACUGCUUGUCUCACUGGGAGUGGUGUCUUGACACAUGGGUCGUUGGGUAGCCAGUUGUUGUGCCAUGCACCAACAGGGAGCCUGUGGACCCACUGAGGACCUAACUCUCAGUACAUGGCUCAUUGGGUAACCUGCUAUUGUGCCAUAGCAUACACAGGGCUAAAAGACCUAGCAGGGCUAAAAGAUGUCCAGAACAAGUAUGCUCAUACAAUAUAGAGUUGCCACUGGUGCAGAGCCCCACUCCCUGCCUUAACCCUGCCUAGCACCAGCAUGUCUGAUGUCCAAACUUUGCCCAGUAACAAUAGGGUGGGAGGGGAAUGAAUUUCCCUUGGCCCUGCCAUCUCAAAACGUAUAAAUUGAGUGCACAGCUCCCUGGGGUACCCCUUAUUGAUCCAAGAUGUCUGACAUUCAGGGAGAACAGAGCGGACUGGGGUGCAUAGGCGUAGGUCCAAUUGAACCUUCACCAAAACAAAGAGCUGGUGCGGGUGCUGGGGGACCCUGAGGUCAUGCUCCUGUUCAUCUGCAGUUUGCGGGCCAACUGGCUCUUCUAUCUUGUUGCCAGGACAAUGGGCAAGCAGGAGCACAAUAGGAUGGCAGUCCAAAGAUGCUGUGGGCUACUUUCCACAGGGAUGUUGCCAGAGCACAGAGGCAGGGCACCACACUGCACAACGUGACCCAUUACAGAAAACUUCAGCCAAUAAUGGAUGCCAUGGACACACAGGGACAGAGGCCUCUGGGGGUCUUCACCUGCUGAGACAUUGCCAACCACUGCUGUGACUUGUCGGGGCUGCAGUGGAGAAUAUAGCAGCAGGGUCUCAGUCAUGUCACCUGCUGCUUCCUCCAAGGAAGACAGACCAUGGAGCUUGGCCUCCACAUCUGCUCCACUUGCAAUGCCACUGCUGAGAAUACAGAGGUUACCGAGGCAGGCUGCUGCUGAUGCAUGCACAGACAAGAUCAUGAAUGCCCUCAGGAAGUGUGAGCAUUGGCUGCGCAAGAUGAUGAGACAGAUCUGUCUGGCUAUGGGCAGAUUCAUAGUCAUCCAGCACAACAGGAAUGGCUCAGAGUACAGGAGGCAUUCCCAGACCCAGGAGGACUGGAAAAUAAUGGUCAGGAUCCUUGCAACGAUUCUAUGCCUGCUGGUUGUUGGCACUGCUCCUGCCUGGGAGUGGUACAGGCCAGUACAGAUCUGUGCUCUGCCAUCCACCAGUUCGCAGUCAAGCUUGGAAAAUCUACCUUAGAGCCAAGGUCAUCUAGUAAAAAUGCUUAUUGCUUAGAUUGAUUUUUUUCACGAACCCUGUAUUGUAUAGUAGUAGAAAGAAAUUCCUCUGUUGUAGUAAUGAUGCAUCAUUAUAUUAUAAAAGAUGUUUUGUGGUUUGUUUAAUUAUGGUUAUUUGGUUUGUAAAUAAAGGUUUCUACUUGC
Long non-coding RNA from Alligator mississippiensis (American alligator), 12599 nucleotides. RefSeq lists it as uncharacterized. The record is from RefSeq and is a predicted model, not a curated record. The transcript has 2 exons. NCBI's taxonomy places the organism in Eukaryota, Metazoa, Chordata, Crocodylia, Alligatoridae.